UACGUGAAACCGUUCAGGGGUAAACCUGAGAAACCCGAAAGUUCGAAUGGGGAGAUUCAUGCGUGGUUCGUGAUGUAGCAGAUAAUAAUUGUAUUGACGAUUUAAUGUGCUUGCACAUUCUUUUGCAUCUGUUAUUUCUGUACUAUAUUCGACCGCGUGCACUUCUCCACCUAGUAGGACGUCGCGAUUCGUUGGGUGUCGGUCUAAGGUCCGGUAGGUAGUUCGUUGUUAUUUUUAUAAUAACGAACCUCCGGUAUCCCGACCGACUCGCUCGACGGUAUUGAUGUAUGGUGUAUGGUCGCAUUUAAUGCGCUUGACUAGUUGCAAGUCUAUACGUAUAUCUGAACUACGGACCUAGUGCCGAAUUUAGUAACGUGUAACUGUUGGUAACUAUGUUCUUGGGCAGACACAAACACCUAUCAGCGACGAUAUUGAUUUGGGUACUUUCAGGGCCCGUCUUGAAACACGGACCAAGGAGUCUAGCAUGUGCGCGAGUCAUUGGGAUAUAUAUAAGCCUAUAGGCGUAAUGAAAGUAAAGAUUUUUCCUUGUGUUAAAUCAAGGGAGGAUGGGUUUUACUACGGUAUUACCUCGCACUCCCGGGGCGUCUUAAACUCAUUGUGAGUUGAGGCGCACCUAGAGCGUACACGCUGGGACCCGAAAGAUGGUGAACUAUGCCUGGUCAGGACGAAGUCAGGGGAAACCCUGAUGGAGGUCCGUAGCGAUUCUGACGUGCAAAUCGAUCGUCGGAACUGGGUAUAGGGGCGAAAGACUAAUCGAACCAUC
This 784-nucleotide ribosomal RNA is filed under the name Coleoptera sp. NZAC03006218. Its description in RNAcentral is "eukaryotic LSU rRNA". It matches the Rfam family "Eukaryotic large subunit ribosomal RNA", at positions 396 to 944 of the family's 3401-position model. The record is from RNAcentral. Lineage: Eukaryota; Metazoa; Arthropoda; Insecta; Coleoptera. RNAcentral also lists the same sequence under 1 other name.